RNAcentral lists this long non-coding RNA (231 nucleotides) under Cucumis sativus (cucumber). RNAcentral's name for it is "long non-coding RNA (CSAT_LNC002938)". Lineage: Eukaryota; Viridiplantae; Streptophyta; Magnoliopsida; Cucurbitales; Cucurbitaceae. The record is from RNAcentral.
UUUUUCUAUUUACAAAUAACCAAUGAUUUAAAGGAAAGAAUUUGCACCACAAAUGACCAUUAGAAAGCAAUAUACAUAAAAAAGAAUAAAAAAUACGCAGAAAUUGAAAAUGAAAGUGAGUAGAAAACAAACUGAAGGAAGAAAAAUACUCCAAAAGUUACAAAUGCAUUACGAUUCAGAAAAAUUUGUAUCAACAUGAACUGAUCGAAUAAGCUCCAAAAUGGGUUUUGC